CAGGCUUAACACAUGCAAGUCGAGGGGCAUCAGGAAGAAAGCUUGCUUUCUUUGCUGGCGACCGGCGCACGGGUGAGUAACACGUAUCCAACCUGCCCUUUACUCGGGGAUAGCCUUUCGAAAGAAAGAUUAAUACCCGAUAGCAUAAUGAUUCCGCAUGGUUUCAUUAUUAAAGGAUUCCGGUAAAGGAUGGGGAUGCGUUCCAUUAGGUUGUUGGUGAGGUAACGGCCCACCAAGCCUUCGAUGGAUAGGGGUUCUGAGAGGAAGGUCCCCCACAUUGGAACUGAGACACGGUCCAAACUCCUACGGGAGGCAGCAGUGAGGAAUAUUGGUCAAUGGGCGCUAGCCUGAACCAGCCAAGUAGCGUGAAGGAUGAAGGCUCUAUGGGUCGUAAACUUCUUUUAUAUAAGAAUAAAGUGCAGUAUGUAUACUGUUUUGUAUGUAUUAUAUGAAUAAGGAUCGGCUAACUCCGUGCCAGCAGCCGCGGUAAUACGGAGGAUCCGAGCGUUAUCCGGAUUUAUUGGGUUUAAAGGGAGCGUAGGUGGACUGGUAAGUCAGUUGUGAAAGUUUGCGGCUCAACCGUAAAAUUGCAGUUGAUACUGUCAGUCUUGAGUACAGUAGAGGUGGGCGGAAUUCGUGGUGUAGCGGUGAAAUGCUUAGAUAUCACGAAGAACUCCGAUUGCGAAGGCAGCUCACUGGACUGCAACUGACACUGAUGCUCGAAAGUGUGGGUAUCAAACAGGAUUAGAUACCCUGGUAGUCCACACAGUAAACGAUGAAUACUCGCUGUUUGCGAUAUACAGUAAGCGGCCAAGCGAAAGCAUUAAGUAUUCCACCUGGGGAGUACGCCGGCAACGGUGAAACUCAAAGGAAUUGACGGGGGCCCGCACAAGCGGAGGAACAUGUGGUUUAAUUCGAUGAUACGCGAGGAACCUUACCCGGGCUUAAAUUGCAGUGGAAUGAUGUGGAAACAUGUCAGUGAGCAAUCACCGCUGUGAAGGUGCUGCAUGGUUGUCGUCAGCUCGUGCCGUGAGGUGUCGGCUUAAGUGCCAUAACGAGCGCAACCCUUAUCUUUAGUUACUAACAGGUUAUGCUGAGGACUCUAGAGAGACUGCCGUCGUAAGAUGUGAGGAAGGUGGGGAUGACGUCAAAUCAGCACGGCCCUUACGUCCGGGGCUACGCACGUGUUACAAUGGGGGGUACAGAAGGCAGCUAGCGGGUGACCGUAUGCUAAUCCCAAAAUCCUCUCUCAGUUCGGAUCGAAGUCUGCAACCCGACUUCGUGAAGCUGGAUUCGCUAGUAAUCGCGCAUCAGCCACGGCGCGGUGAAUACGUUCCCGGGCCUUGUACACACCGCCCGUCAAGCCAUGGGAGCCGGGGGUACCUGAAGUACGUAACCGCAAGGAUCGUCCUAGGGUAAAACUGGUGACUGGGGC
This 1435-nucleotide ribosomal RNA is filed under the name uncultured organism. Its description in RNAcentral is "16S ribosomal RNA". It matches the Rfam family "Bacterial small subunit ribosomal RNA". The record is from RNAcentral.